UACACCCUCACAGCUUUCAGCACACAAUUACCUUCAUUCCAAUCAUUGGAAUUCUUCACACAGAACUGCCAUUCACAUUACAGUAUUUCACACAAACACAGACUCAUUCUCUCUGCUGAACUACAAUCAGAUUUCAGCAUUCAAUCUUUCUUCUUCUCAAAUAAUACCAAUCACAUUUCUAUUCCAUAAUUCACUUCAUAAUAUUCAGAAACUUUCAAUCCUCUUAUUUAAAGAAAAUAACAAACAAAAGAAA
Molecule: long non-coding RNA, 253 nt
Filed under: Physcomitrium patens
Lineage: Eukaryota; Viridiplantae; Streptophyta; Bryopsida; Funariales; Funariaceae
Description: long non-coding RNA (PPAT_LNC014340)
Source: RNAcentral